CAUGCAAGUCGAGCGGAAACGACACYAWCRAHYCUUCGGRUGMKUUAAUGGGCGUCGAGCGGCGGACGGGUGAGUAAUGCCUAGGAAAUUGCCUUGAUGUGGGGGAUAACCAUUGGAAACGAUGGCUAAUACCGCAUAAUGCCUACGGGCCAAAGAGGGGGAUCUUCGGACCUCUCGCGUCAAGAUAUGCCUAGGUGGGAUUAGCUAGUUGGUGAGGUAAUGGCUCACCAAGGCGACGAUCCCUAGCUGGUCUGAGAGGAUGAUCAGCCACACUGGAACUGAGACACGGUCCAGACUCCUACGGGAGGCAGCAGUGGGGAAUAUUGCACAAUGGGCGAAAGCCUGAUGCAGCCAUGCCGCGUGUAUGAAGAAGGCCUUCGGGUUGUAAAGUACUUUCAGUUGUGAGGAAGGGUGUGUAGUUAAUAGCUGCGCAUCUUGACGU
Molecule: ribosomal RNA, 442 nt
Filed under: Vibrio sp. NVI-7148
Lineage: Bacteria; Pseudomonadati; Pseudomonadota; Gammaproteobacteria; Vibrionales; Vibrionaceae
Description: bacterial SSU rRNA
Rfam family: Bacterial small subunit ribosomal RNA
Source: RNAcentral